AAGCCUCAUUGUUAGCUAAAACCAUCCCUACUGCACCAGCCAAGGCAGCUUGCUCGCCCUUGUCAACUCUCGCGUUGUCCCCUCGUAGGCACACCAAAACUUCCCCUUCGCCUUCCGUGGAUUCAAGGUGCCAGAUUUGCAGAGCAAGCUACAUUUUUCACAACAUUUCUUGAUGAAAAAAAACAGCAGCAAUAGGAUUCCAGUGAUUGAUUAUUAUCAGCAAUAAUGUACAUCAACUUACGCCUCAUCAGCUGAUGCGUUGCCAGCUUUGGCCGAUGCAGCAGAGAUGACGGGGUACGCCUUGUGUAGAGGCAACAAUGUAGCUGAGAGGCUCUCCCUCUUCAAGCACAGUUUGUUCCCGACAACGGCACUAUAUCACUUGUUGAAGUAUCUUGCUCCAAUGAUCUUCCUUCAGACAUCAAAAACAUCCCAACAACAUCAUAGUUAGAUCAUUUAAUUACUGUGACAACAGUCAUACCUGGAGAGAACAAAAAUUGGUACUGGUUCAGGAGCAACAACCACAUACAUGUAGAUAGAAACGUGACAAAAGGAAAUAUGUUUAGAGUGGUGAUCUUUAAGUCUAACUUUAUGCCUAAUACUCAAAAUCAGGAAUUUAAAAAGAUAAAGAAAACGUAUACUGAAGAAGUUUAUAAAACAAUUCCACAAGCUUCAUUCUUUCUAACAGAAACCAAACAGAUGUGCCUAAAGGGCAUAUAGCAGUUUAUGUAGGAGAAGUUCAGAGGAGAAGGUAUGUGGUGCCUUUAUCAUACCUCAACCACCCUUCAUUUCAAGCGUUGCUGCGACGAGCUGAGGACGAGUUCGGCUUCAAUCACCCCAUGGGAGGCCUCACGAUCCCUUGCAACGAGAACGCGUUCGUUGAAGUGACUUCAAAAAUGCAGCUGUGGCAUGCGUGAAGAGAGCAAGCAUUAAUUCAACAGUUUUUGAGGACUCAUUAUUUAUGUAUAUAGUGUUCCAACAAUAUAUAGCUGCAGUGUUUGUAAACAGAUCAUGUAGUGAGAAUUCAGCUUAGUCAUCCUUCAUUUCAAGGCUUGUUGCACCGAGCCGAGGAAGAAUUCGGCUUCAAUCACCCCACAGGAGGUCUAAUGAUUCCAUGCAGUGAGAAUGCCUUUCUUGAACUAACUUCUACGAUACAAAUUCAUCAUGCAAGAAACCAAUGAAGAAUAUUUUUAUUAAUUUUUUUACUAUUUUUUUUUUGUGCUUUUGUUUUUAUAGAAUAGCUUUAGGAGUGUAGAUUCAUGUAUUGGUGAUCCACUGACAUAUACGGACACACAAACACAGAGAAAAAAGAAAAAAUAUUAUUUUCAUUCAAAUAAAGUUUUUACAUUUU
Molecule: long non-coding RNA, 1348 nt
Filed under: Salvia miltiorrhiza (redroot sage)
Lineage: Eukaryota; Viridiplantae; Streptophyta; Magnoliopsida; Lamiales; Lamiaceae
Description: long non-coding RNA (SMIL_LNC006144)
Source: RNAcentral